GACAUCGCCGGGGUAGGCGCCGUGGUAAGACGUAGAGUCCAUGCGUUAUGCCAAAUCAUUGGGUUUAAAGGGUGCGCAGGCGGUCUUAUAAGUAAGGUGGGAAAGCCCAUCGAUAAACGAUGGAACUGCCAUUGAUACUGUAAGACUUGAAUGCUUAGGAAGUAACGAGAAUAUGUAGUGUAGCGGUGAAAUGCUUAGAUAUUACAUGGAAUACCAAUUGCGAAGGCAGGUUACUACUAAGUGAUUGACGCUGAUGGACGAAAGCGUGGGGAGCGAACAGGAUUAGAUACCCCGGUAGUC
Molecule: ribosomal RNA, 300 nt
Filed under: uncultured bacterium
Lineage: Bacteria
Description: partial 16S ribosomal RNA
Rfam family: Bacterial small subunit ribosomal RNA
Source: RNAcentral